GCGAUGGUGGUAUAGUGGUUAGCAUAGUUGCCUUCCAAGCCGUUGAUCCGAGUUCGAUGCUCGGAUAUUGCA
This is a non-coding RNA of Daphnia pulex (common water flea), 72 nucleotides long. The record is from Rfam. NCBI's taxonomy places the organism in Eukaryota, Metazoa, Arthropoda, Branchiopoda, Diplostraca, Daphniidae.